This 102-nucleotide ribosomal RNA is filed under the name Gnetum montanum. RNAcentral describes it as "partial 26S ribosomal RNA". It matches the Rfam family "Eukaryotic large subunit ribosomal RNA", at positions 1 to 104 of the family's 3401-position model. Lineage: Eukaryota; Viridiplantae; Streptophyta; Gnetopsida; Gnetales; Gnetaceae. The record is from RNAcentral.
ACCCCAGCUCAGGCGAGGGUACCCGCCGAGUUUAAGCAUAUAACUAAGCGGAGGAAGAGAAACUUACGAGGAUUCCCCUAGUAACGGCGAGCGAACCGGGAA